Molecule: non-coding RNA, 59 nt
Organism: Pelagibacterium sp. SCN 63-23
Lineage: Bacteria; Pseudomonadati; Pseudomonadota; Alphaproteobacteria; Hyphomicrobiales; Devosiaceae
Source: Rfam
GGGCAGCGCCGGGCCCCUCUGGUCGUAGCCCCUUGCUAUGACGAUGUCGGAGCUGCUCC